CUUUCCUGUGGCUCAGUUGGCCGAGCAUAGCGCUAACAACACAAACGUUGUGGGUUCAAAUUCCAGGGAAAGA
This is a non-coding RNA of Danionella cerebrum, 73 nucleotides long. The record is from the annotation of a GenBank genome assembly. Lineage: Eukaryota; Metazoa; Chordata; Actinopteri; Cypriniformes; Danionidae.